Ornithorhynchus anatinus (platypus) is the source of this 699-nucleotide long non-coding RNA. RefSeq lists it as uncharacterized. Lineage: Eukaryota; Metazoa; Chordata; Mammalia; Monotremata; Ornithorhynchidae. The record is from RefSeq and is a predicted model, not a curated record. The transcript is spliced from 2 exons.
UCAAAGAACAAAAGGAGUGACUUUUGAAGCAAGUGCACUCCUUUGCGGAGGCAGAAAGAUUCUACCAGGUCUCCCCACUCCUCCUGCAAACUCACAAUCAGCCAAGCUGGAUGGAAUUGAAGCAAUGAUUAAGUCAGAUUCGGAUGUGAGCAAUCACCUGUGGCCUGCAAGGGCUGAGCCCUUAGAUACCAAUUUUUCUGCUGUUGACAGGCUCUGGAUCCUGCAUAUAAGCAGCUAAAAACCUCCAUAGAAGAUGAAGAGCUAAUAUUGUGGAAUAAUAAUUCCAAUGGCAUAUGUGGAUGAACUGGCACAGAGAAGGCAGGAUAUGAUUUUGCUUCACGAGUGGUGUCCUAAUUAUCCCUCUGGGAUCAACGUUACUUCUACCUCAUUUUUCUCUUCAGUGUUAUUGAUUGCAAGUGGGGCAGCCAUCUGAAUGUUUAAGGGGAGGCUUGUACCCCAUAAUCAGUGAGUUGAUGGUGCCAUAAAUGGGAAAACCUGGGCCUAAAAUUGCUGCCUUGAAAUACUUGAAGAGGUUUAAUGACAAAAUUGCACCAAAGGCUAUCUUUGCUCUUAAAAGCUUUACCAAAGAGAUUCUUCUACUACACCAGCCAUGAAAAUAAUCAUUAACCUAAAACCUAAAUCCUUAAAUAAAUCAAGGCAGAUAGAAUUCAAACCAAGCAGCAAUGCCUCAAAAAAAAA